This 256-nucleotide ribosomal RNA is filed under the name uncultured bacterium. Its description in RNAcentral is "partial 16S ribosomal RNA". It matches the Rfam family "Bacterial small subunit ribosomal RNA", at positions 519 to 774 of the family's 1533-position model. The record is from RNAcentral.
GGUAAUACGGGGGGGACUAGUGUUAUUCGGAAUGACUGGGCGUAAAGGGUGUGUAGGCGGUCUGGUAAGCGUGUGGUGAAAGCCCGGGGCUCAACCCCGGGUCUGCCGUGCGAACUGCCGGACUUGAGCACUGUAGAGGCAGGUGGAAUUCCGAGUGUAGCGGUGGAAUGCGUAGAGAUUCGGAGGAACACCGGUGGCGAAGGCGGCCUGCUGGGCAGUGUCUGACGCUGAGGCGCGACAGCGUGGGGAGCAAACA